AAACGCUUGAAGUCAGUCGCGUUAGCUGGGGAUCAGCCUCGCAUUUGCGUGGUGUACUUCCCAGUUGACGGGUCAGCAUCAAUUUUGACCGCUGGAAAAAGACUUGGGGAAUGUGGCAGCUCCGGCUGUGUUAUAGCCCUUUGUCACAUACAGCGGUUGGGAUUGAGGAACUCAGCACGCCGCAAGGCCGGGUUUUCGAACCACGUUCGUGCUUAGGAUGCUGGCAUAAUGGCUUUAAGCGA
RNAcentral lists this ribosomal RNA (242 nucleotides) under Lepiota sp. Its description in RNAcentral is "partial large subunit ribosomal RNA". The record is from RNAcentral. Lineage: Eukaryota; Fungi; Basidiomycota; Agaricomycetes; Agaricales; Agaricaceae.